GCCAGCAGCCGCGGUAAUACCUGCAGCCCAAGUGGUGGUCGAUUUUAUUGAGUCUAAAACGUUCGUAGCCGGUUUGGUAAAUCUUUGGGUAAAUCGGGAGGCUCAACUUCCGACUUCCGAAGAGACUGUCAAACUUGGGACCGGGAGAGGCUAGAGGUACUUCUGGGGUAGGGGUAAAAUCCUGUAAUCCUAGAAGGACCACCGGUGGCGAAGGCGUCUAGCUAGAACGGAUCCGACGGUGAGGGACGAAGCCCUGGGUCGCAAACGGGAUUAGAUACCCCGGUAGUCCAGGGUGUAAACGCUGCCGACUUGGUGUUGGAGGCCCUUCGGGGCAUUCAGUGCCGGAGAGAAGUUGUUAAGUCGGCUACUUGGGGAGUACGUCCGCAAGGAUGAAACUUAAAGGAAUUGGCGGGGGAGCACCGCCAACGGGAGGAGCGUGCGGUUUAAUUGGAUUCAACACCGGAAAACUCACCAAGGGCGACUAUCACAUGAAAGCCAGGCUAACGACCUUGCUUGAUUCUUAGAGGAGAGGUGCAUGG
RNAcentral lists this ribosomal RNA (539 nucleotides) under uncultured archaeon. RNAcentral's name for it is "bacterial SSU rRNA". It matches the Rfam family "Archaeal small subunit ribosomal RNA", at positions 457 to 997 of the family's 1478-position model. The record is from RNAcentral.